Bacteroides sp. CAG:144 is the source of this 109-nucleotide non-coding RNA. Lineage: Bacteria; Pseudomonadati; Bacteroidota; Bacteroidia; Bacteroidales; Bacteroidaceae. The record is from Rfam.
UAAGGUGGUUAUAGCAUCAGGGCUCCACCUCUACCCAUACCGAACAGAGAAGUUAAACCUGAUCACGCCGAUGGUACUGCGCAAGCGGGAGAGUAGGUAGCCGCCCCCU